Molecule: ribosomal RNA, 517 nt
Filed under: uncultured bacterium
Lineage: Bacteria
Description: partial 16S ribosomal RNA
Source: RNAcentral
GGAGUUAGCCGGUGCUUCUUCUGCGAGUAACGUCACAGAUGUAAGGUAUUAACUUACACCCUUUCCUCCUCGCUGAAAGUGCUUUACAACCCGAAGGCCUUCUUCACACACGCGGCAUGGCUGCAUCAGGGUUUCCCCCAUUGUGCAAUAUUCCCCACUGCUGCCUCCCGUAGGAGUCUGGGCCGUGUCUCAGUCCCAGUGUGGCUGAUCAUCCUCUCAGACCAGCUAGGGAUCGUCGCCUAGGUGAGCCUUUACCUCACCUACUAGCUAAUCCCACCUGGGCUUAUCCAUCAGCGCAAGGCCCGAAGGUCCCCUGCUUUCCCCCGUAGGGCGUAUGCGGUAUUAGCAGUCGUUUCCAACUGUUAUCCCCCACAAAUGGGCAAAUUCCCAGGCAUUACUCACCCGUCCGCCGCUCGUCAUCUUCAAAAGCAAGCUUUUGAAAUGUUACCGCUCGACUUGCAUGUGUUAGGCCUGCCGCCACGCGUCAAUACUGAGACCGAGGAUACAAACUACUCGA